AACGAACGCUGGCGGCAUGCCUAACACAUGCAAGUCGAACGAGACCUUCGGGUCUAGUGGCGCACGGGUGCGUAACGCGUGGGAAUCUACCCUGGGGUUCGGAAUAACAGUUAGAAAUGACUGCUAACACCGGAUGAUGACGUAAGUCCAAAGAUUUAUCGCCCAAGGAUGAGCCCGGGUAAGAUUAGCUUGUUGGUGGGUUAAUGGCCUACCAAGGCGACGAUGUUUAGCUGGUCUGAGAGGAUGAUCAGCCACACUGGGACUGAGACACGGCCCAGCCUCCUACGGGAGGCAGCAGUGGGGAAUAUUGGACAAUGGGCGAAAGCCUGAUCCAGCAAUGCCGCGUGAGUGAUGAAGGCCUUAGGGUUGUAAAGCUCUUUUACCAGGGAUGAUAAUGACAGUACCUGGAGAAUAAGCUCCGGCUAACUCCGUGCCAGCAGCCGCCGUAA
This 449-nucleotide ribosomal RNA is filed under the name uncultured bacterium. RNAcentral describes it as "partial 16S ribosomal RNA". It matches the Rfam family "Bacterial small subunit ribosomal RNA", at positions 29 to 523 of the family's 1533-position model. The record is from RNAcentral.